CGGCGGACGGGUGAGUAACGCGUGGGUAACCUGCCUCAGUACAGGGGGAUAACAGUUGGAAACGGCCUGCUAAUACCGCAUAAGCGCACAGUACCGCAUGGUACGGUGUGAAAAACUCCGGUGGUAUGAGAUGGACCCGCGUCUGAUUAGGUAGUUGGUGGGGUAACGGCCUACCAAGCCGACGAUCAGUAGCCGACCUGAGAGGGUGACCGGCCACAUUGGGACUGAGACACGGCCCAA
Molecule: ribosomal RNA, 240 nt
Filed under: uncultured bacterium
Lineage: Bacteria
Description: partial 16S ribosomal RNA
Rfam family: Bacterial small subunit ribosomal RNA
Source: RNAcentral